AAAGAAAGUAAGCAAGGGCGCAUGGCGGAUGCCUUGGCUCUCGGAGGCGAUGAAGGACGUGAUAAGCUGCGAUAAGCUUCGGGCAGGUGCAAAUAACCUUUGAUCCGAAGAUUUCCGAAUGGGACAACCCGUCAUUCUGAAGGAAUGACAUCUUGCAUAGCAAGAGGCUAACGCAGGGAACUGAAACAUCUUAGUACCUGUAGGAAAAGAAAAUAAUAAUGAUUCCCCUAGUAGUGGCGAGCGAACGGGGAUUAGCCCAAACCAAUGUUGUUACGGCAAUAUUGGGGUUGUAGGACCACGAUGUCGCAAGAAAUUUAGUGAGAAGAACCCUUUGGAAAAUGGGACCAUAGACGGUGAUAGUCCGGUAUUCGAAGCUAAAUGAAGCGUAGUGGUAUCCUGAGUAGCGCGGGACACGAGGAAUCUUGCGUGAAUCUGCCGGGACCAUCCGGUAAGGCUAAAUACUCCCGAGAGACCGAUAGCGAACCAGUACUGUGAAGGAAAGGUGAAAAGCACUUCGAAUAGAAGAGUGAAAUAGUCCCUGAAACCGUGCGCCUACAAGCGGUCGGAGCUGCUUCAGCAGUGACGGCGUGCCUUUUGCAUAAUGAACCUACGAGUUACUUUUUCCGGCAAGGUUAAGGAUCUUGAGAUCCGCAGCCGAAGCGAAAGCGAGUCUUAACAGGGCGAUUAGUCGGAAGGAGUAGACGCGAAACCAAGUGAUCUACCCUUGGUCAGGUUGAAGGUUAGGUAACACUAACUGGAGGACCGAACCGAUAAGCGUUGAAAAGCUUCCGGAUGAACUGAGGGUGGGGGU
This 811-nucleotide ribosomal RNA is filed under the name Bacteroides ovatus. RNAcentral describes it as "partial 23S ribosomal RNA". It matches the Rfam family "Bacterial large subunit ribosomal RNA", at positions 1 to 822 of the family's 2925-position model. Lineage: Bacteria; Pseudomonadati; Bacteroidota; Bacteroidia; Bacteroidales; Bacteroidaceae. The record is from RNAcentral.